UACGUAGGGUGCGAGCGUUGUCCGGAAUUAUUGGGCGUAAAGAGCUCGUAGGCGGUUUGUUGCGUCUAUCGUGAAAACCUGCAGCUUAACUGUGGGCUUGCGGUGGAUACGGGCAGACUAGAGGUAGGUAGGGGAGAAUGGAAUUCCCGGUGUAGCGGUGAAAUGCGCAGAUAUCGGGAGGAACACCGGUGGCGAAGGCGGUUCUCUGGGCCUUACCUGACGCUGAGGAGCGAAAGCGUGGGGAGCGAACAGG
RNAcentral lists this ribosomal RNA (253 nucleotides) under uncultured bacterium. Its description in RNAcentral is "partial 16S ribosomal RNA". It matches the Rfam family "Bacterial small subunit ribosomal RNA", at positions 524 to 776 of the family's 1533-position model. The record is from RNAcentral.